Molecule: ribosomal RNA, 373 nt
Filed under: uncultured bacterium
Lineage: Bacteria
Description: bacterial SSU rRNA
Rfam family: Bacterial small subunit ribosomal RNA
Source: RNAcentral
UCAGGCCUAACACAUGCAAGUCGAACGGUAACAGGAAGAAGCUUAGCUUCUUUGCUGACGAGUGGCGGACGGGUGAGUAAUGUCUGGGAAACUGCCUGAUGGAGGGGGAUAACUACUGGAAACGGUAGCUAAUACCGCAUAACGUCGCAAAACCAAAGAGGGGGACCUUCGGGCCUCUUGCCAUCGGAUGCGCCCAGAUGGGAUUAGCUAGUAGGUGGGGUAACGGCUCACCUAGGCGACGAUCCCUAGCUGGUCUGAGAGGAUGACCAGCCACACUGGAACUGAGACACGGUCCAGACUCCUACGGGAGGCAGCAGUGGGGAAUAUUGCACAAUGGGCGCAAGCCUGAUGCAGCCAUGCCGCGUGUAUGAAG